AUUGAACGCUGGCGGCAUGCUUUACACAUGCAAGUCGAACGGAAGCGCGGGCUUCGGCCUGGCGGCGCGUGGCGGACGGGUGAGUAAUACAUCGGAACGUGCCCAGUAGUGGGGGAUAGCUCGGCGAAAGCCGGAUUAAUACAGCAUACGACCUGAGGGUGAAAGCGGGGGAUCUUCGGACCUCGCGCUAUUGGAUGGGACGAUGGGAGAUUAGCUAGUUGGUGGGGUAAAGGCCUACCAAGGCGACGAUCUGUAGCUGGUCUGAGAGGACGACCAGCCACACUGGGACUGAGACACGGCCCAGACUCCUACGGGAGGCAGCAGUGGGGAAUUUUGGACAAUGGGCGAAAGCCUGAUCCAGCAAUGCCGCGUGUGUGAUGAAGGCCUUCGGGUUGUAAAGCACUUUUGGCGGGAACGAAAAGGACUGUGCCAAUACCACGGUUCGAUGACGGUACCCGCAGAAUAAGCACCGGCUAACUACGUG
RNAcentral lists this ribosomal RNA (484 nucleotides) under uncultured bacterium. RNAcentral's name for it is "partial 16S ribosomal RNA". It matches the Rfam family "Bacterial small subunit ribosomal RNA", at positions 29 to 507 of the family's 1533-position model. The record is from RNAcentral.